AGACUGCUGUGCUAGCAAUCAGCGAGACUCCGUGGGCGUAGGACCCUCCGAGCCAGAGAUGGGAUCUUACUACAUUGCCCAGGCUGAAGUGCAGUGGCUAUUAACAGCUGUAAUCAUAAUGCAUUGCAGCUUUGAAUUCCUGGGCUUGAGCGACCUCCCCACCUUAGCCUCCUGAGUAGCUGAGACUACAGAUGUGCCUUGCUUCUCCUUCAUUUUCUGCCAUGACUGUAAGUUCCCUGAGGCCUUCCCAUCCAUGUGGAACUGCACUGUCCUAGGUACUGUGGGGACCAAAACAUUCAGACCUGCUUCUAAGGAGUGCAGUCCAUGGAAGAGUCAGAAUAACAAAUCAACAUUUGUACUACACCAGACCAGCUCUCUUCUAAGGUUGCUAUGACUUCCCAGCAGAAGGAAAUAAACUUAAGGAGAAAGAAGAAACAAAGAUGGGGCGGAAAUGUAAGAGAGGCAUUCUAAUAUAUGCAUUCUUCAUAACAACUGUGUGAAACAUAUUAAUAUCCUCAUUGUUAACGAUGAAGAAACUAAAUCUCAGGAAGAAAAACUAAGUGAAGACAAAAGAAGGAUUUGAACUGAGAUUAUUCUGGGAGAUUCUGGGAGUCUUUUCUCCAACACUCCAGUGGCAUCUGACUAUGUGAGCUGAUAAGAUCUAUAGAUCUUCUCAGGUAUGUCUUCAUCAGCAGCAUGAAAAUAGACUAAUACAGUAAAUUGGUAUCAGUAGAAUGGGGUGCUGUGGAAAAGAUACCUGAAAAUGUGGAAGCAACAUUGGAACUGGGUAACAGGCAGAGGUUGGAACAGUUUGGAGGAUUCAGAAGAAGAGAGGAAAAUGUGG
Molecule: long non-coding RNA, 844 nt
Organism: Homo sapiens (human)
Lineage: Eukaryota; Metazoa; Chordata; Mammalia; Primates; Hominidae
Gene: KCNMB2-AS1
Product: KCNMB2 antisense RNA 1
Source: Ensembl